RNAcentral lists this ribosomal RNA (473 nucleotides) under uncultured organism. RNAcentral describes it as "partial 16S ribosomal RNA". It matches the Rfam family "Bacterial small subunit ribosomal RNA", at positions 335 to 799 of the family's 1533-position model. The record is from RNAcentral.
ACUCCUACGGGAGGCAGCAGUGGGGAAUUUUGGACAAUGGGCGAAAGCCUGAUCCAGCAAUGCCGCGUGAGUGAAGAAGGCCUUCGGGUUGUAAAGCUCUUUUGUCAGGGAAGAAACGGUGAAAGCUAAUAUCUUUUGCUAAUGACGGUACCUGAAGAAUAAGCACCGGCUAACUACGUGCCAGCAGCCGCGGUAAUACGUAGGGUGCAAGCGUUAAUCGGAAUUACUGGGCGUAAAGCGUGCGCAGGCGGUUUUGUAAGUCUGAUGUGAAAUCCCCGGGCUCAACCUGGGAAUUGCAUUGGAGACUGCAAGGCUAGAAUCUGGCAGAGGGGGGUAGAAUUCCACGUGUAGCAGUGAAAUGCGUAGAUAUGUGGAGGAACACCGAUGGCGAAGGCAGCCCCCUGGGUCAAGAUUGACGCUCAUGCACGAAAGCGUGGGGAGCAAACAGGAUUAGAUACCCCGGUAGUCCCAUG